This 313-nucleotide long non-coding RNA is filed under the name Elaeis guineensis (African oil palm). RNAcentral's name for it is "long non-coding RNA (EGUI_LNC012953)". Lineage: Eukaryota; Viridiplantae; Streptophyta; Magnoliopsida; Arecales; Arecaceae. The record is from RNAcentral.
CCCAGCUAUGCAACCCAAGAGGGGGGGGUGAAUUGGGUUUCUAAAAAAUUUUAAGCCCAACAGAUUACUUAUGAAGAACAAAACAAAGACUUUAAAUCAAUAUUAAUUACCUAAAGCAGUAUUGCAAGGAUAUAAUAAAGAAAUAAGAUAAAACGAUAAAGCACACCACAAACACAAGGAUUUAUAGUGGUUCGGUGCUAACCUUGCACCUACAUCCACUCCCCAAGAUCCUACUUGGGAAUUUCAAUCCACUAUACUUUGUAUUCAACAUGAAUACAAAACGUCGGAAACUCCGACACUAGCUAUCCCAAGC